RNAcentral lists this ribosomal RNA (303 nucleotides) under uncultured bacterium. Its description in RNAcentral is "partial 16S ribosomal RNA". It matches the Rfam family "Bacterial small subunit ribosomal RNA", at positions 507 to 808 of the family's 1533-position model. The record is from RNAcentral.
AGCAGUCGCCGCGGUAAUACGUAUGUCACAAGCGUUAUCCGGAUUUAUUGGGCGUAAAGCGCGUCUAGGUGGUUAUGUAAGUCUGAUGUGAAAAUGCAGGGCUCAACUCUGUAUUGCGUUGGAAACUGUGUAACUAGAGUACUGGAGAGGUAAGCGGAACUACAAGUGUAGAGGUGAAAUUCGUAGAUAUUUGUAGGAAUGCCGAUGGGGAAGCCAGCUUACUGGACAGAUACUGACGCUAAAGCGCGAAAGCGUGGGUAGCAAACAGGAUUAGAUACCCCGGUAGUCCCUGUCUCUUAUACA